Molecule: long non-coding RNA, 791 nt
Organism: Acyrthosiphon pisum (pea aphid)
Lineage: Eukaryota; Metazoa; Arthropoda; Insecta; Hemiptera; Aphididae
Exons: 6
Source: RefSeq, a predicted model, not a curated record
CCCACCCGCUUGUCGCGAGUGCCGCGCUGUGUAGUAGUCACUCGGGUGGGCAGUCGCCAGUCGUAGACGGCAAGUCCGUACAUGGUGUCGUCGGGCGGGCGGUUGCGGCGUACAACGGUAGCAGGACAACAACAAUAAUAAUAAUGCCUACUGAAGAUCGAUAAAAGUUUUCGUGUUUUAUUUUUAUUGUAUUUUUUCGGCAGAAACAUUCCACCGUAAUCCUUAUAAUUAUAACGUACAGGUAGUUGCGAUACCUGCAGCGUGCAUAUUGAUGUACAGAAGAAAAAAUAUCAGCCACUAUAGUACUAUACCGCGAAUAAGAGGAUAUAAGAUAAUAUAGAAGUCCCUAUCAGUGUAUUCUUCAACUAAGUUAUGUUUUUUAUUUAAUCUACAGCUGUUUUGUUUUAUAAAAUCAAAUUAACAUGCAAGAACCUCCAACUGAUUGGCUUAUGAUCAUCGCAAUAUGUUUCAUAACUAGUUGUGUAUUAAUUGGAGUACUAUGUGUUGUUUGUUGUUUUUGGUCUAAAUGCUUACUAUUCAAUUGCUGUCGACCAAACUAUAACAACACUUUCAUUAUAUCUUAUGACAAGCCGGAAGAAGCAUUGAAUUUACCACCAGAAGACACAAAUAACAGUACCUGUUAUUCACCCGUACGAAUGAAAAAAAUUAAAACAUUUGAUUGUAAACAUUUGGCCCAAAUAGGCUGUCAAAAAAAAACACUUUUGGCUCAAGUAGGCUGUACCCAAAACGAAUUAAUUUUUUGGCGCAAAUGGGAUACAGAAGCCAACUAG